AUGUCUAUCCAGACCACCCUGAAUGCACCCAGUCUCCUCUGAUGUUGGAAGCUAAGCAGGGUUGGGUCUGGUUAGUACUUGGAUAGUACUUGGAUGCAAGACAGAAUGACACU
This 113-nucleotide ribosomal RNA is filed under the name Jaculus jaculus (lesser Egyptian jerboa). Lineage: Eukaryota; Metazoa; Chordata; Mammalia; Rodentia; Dipodidae. The record is from RNAcentral.